UAGUCCACGCCCUAAACGAUGUUUACUCGAUGUUUGGCACUUGUUGUUGAGCAUCCAAGGGAAACCAUUAAGUAAACCACCUGGGGAGUACGUCGGCAACGAUGAAACUCAAAGGAAUUGACGGGGUCCGCACAAGCGGUGGAGCAUGUGGUUUAAUUCGAUGAUACGCGAGGAACCUUACCUAGGCUCUAAUGUUAGUGAUCGAUGCUGAAAGGCAUUUUUCCUUCGGGACACGAAACAAGGUGCUGCAUGGUUGUCGUCAGCUCGUGCCGUGAGGUGUUGGGUUAAGUCCCGCAACGAGUGCAACCCUUAUCACUAGUUGCCAGCAUUUAAGGUGGGGACUCUAGUGAGACUGCCGGCGUAAGCCGUGAGGAAGGUGGGGAUGACGUCAAAUCAUCAUGGCCUUUAUGCCUAGGGGCUACACACGUGCUACAAUGGCGAGUACAGAGGGUAGCGAAGCCGCAAGGUGGAGCCAAUCUCAUAAAACUCGUCCAGUUCGGAUUGCAC
Molecule: ribosomal RNA, 507 nt
Filed under: uncultured bacterium
Lineage: Bacteria
Description: bacterial SSU rRNA
Rfam family: Bacterial small subunit ribosomal RNA
Source: RNAcentral